This 272-nucleotide long non-coding RNA is filed under the name Elaeis guineensis (African oil palm). RNAcentral describes it as "long non-coding RNA (EGUI_LNC069310)". Lineage: Eukaryota; Viridiplantae; Streptophyta; Magnoliopsida; Arecales; Arecaceae. The record is from RNAcentral.
CAUCCAUUAUGGAAGUUCAAUCGAGGUCUGGUUCUUGCAGAAGGCUGAAAGGAGACCACUUAUUGUAGAAGCUCGAUCGAGGAUCGAUUGUCGUGGGAGCUCGGAGUAGUGAUCUGGCCGGUAGGUCCUGUCCUGCUGUAGAAGCUCGUCUGGGAUCCGGUUACGAAGAAGCUCGACUGAGGUCUACCUGUAAUGGAAGUUCGGAAAAGACAUGUUCACAGUAGGGGCUCGAAUGGAAUUUGCUUACAGUAGAGAUCCGGAGUAGACCGCCC